Molecule: antisense RNA, 72 nt
Filed under: Umezawaea tangerina
Lineage: Bacteria; Bacillati; Actinomycetota; Actinomycetes; Pseudonocardiales; Pseudonocardiaceae
Description: ASpks TB sRNA
Rfam family: ASpks TB sRNA
Source: Rfam by way of RNAcentral
CUUCACCGAGCCCAGCCGCAGCGGGUCUCCCGAACGGUCCUUGCCGUAGGUGGCCAGCAGCGCGUCCGCCUC